RNAcentral lists this ribosomal RNA (348 nucleotides) under uncultured bacterium. RNAcentral's name for it is "partial 16S ribosomal RNA". It matches the Rfam family "Bacterial small subunit ribosomal RNA", at positions 338 to 703 of the family's 1533-position model. The record is from RNAcentral.
CCUACGGGGGGCAGCAGUGGGGAAUAUUGCACAAUGGGGGAAACCCUGAUGCAGCGACGCCGCGUGAAGGAAGAAGAAGUUCGGUAUGUAAGCUUCUAUCAGCAGGGAAGAAAAUGACGGUACCUGACUAAGAAGCCCCGGCUAACUACGUGCCAGCAGCCGCGGUAAUACGUAGGGGGCAAGCGUUAUCCGGAUUUACUGGGUGUAAAGGGAGCGUAGGCGGUGCAGCAAGUCAGAAGUGAAAGCCCGGGGCGCAACUCCGGGACUGCUUUUGAAACUGUUGAACUAGAUUGCAGGAGAGUUCAGUUGCCUUCCUCUUGUAGCGGUGAACUGCGUAGCUAUUCGGAG